UAGAGUUUGAUCCUGGCUCAGGAUGAACGCUGGCGGCGUGCCUUAGGCAUGCAAGUCGAAUGGUCCUCGUAAGAGGGCAAUGGCAGACGGGUGAGUAACGCGUAGGAAUCUACCUCUGGGUAGGGCAUAGCUGGCCGAAAGGUCAGGUAAUUCCCUAUAGUCUCGCAAGAGUAAAGGACUUAACGGUCCGCCGAGAGAGGAGCCUGCGUCCUAUCAGCUAGUUGGUGAGGUAAAGGCUCACCAAGGCGAUGACGGGUAGCUGGACUGAGAGGUCGAUCAGCCACAACUGCACUGAGACACGGGCAGUACACCUACGGGUGGCAGCAACCAGGAAUAUUGCGCAAUGGACGAAAGUCUGACGCAGCCACGCCGCGGGGAGGAACACGCCCUUACCGGUGCACACUCCUUUUGACAAGCCCUUCCAGUUUGUAGGAGUAGCCCCGUAUGCGCACGUUCGCGGAGCCACGGGUGAAGCGAGCUGGCGGGCCGUCCUCGGCUUUCUGGUUUUUCAUUUAUGAUGAACCCCGGGACGGGCCGGCGCGUUGGGCGCUGUGGGGUGCGGUGUGAGCGCCCCCCCGCCGGUUUGGCGAGGUGGCGGUGGUAUUUCCCCCGCCGGAGCCAUUCCCCUUAUGCGAUCGGAUACUCCCCCCACGCCUUUUUCGCUGCUAUGCGGUUUCGUGCGCACUUUGCGGGCCCCACCGGCCGCCCGCCGUAUAUGUGUGCCCCUAUUUGUUCCGCCCUAAUUCGCACCUGCACGUGGCGUCACCCUGCUGACGCUGCCUAUUAGAGAGCGUCCGCGGUGCGUGGGGAUAACUNGCGGCGAUGCUAUUUUUGUUGUACCGAUUGUUUCCGCCGCCGG
This 859-nucleotide ribosomal RNA is filed under the name uncultured bacterium. RNAcentral describes it as "bacterial SSU rRNA". The stretch from base 3 to 492 matches the Rfam family "Bacterial small subunit ribosomal RNA", at positions 9 to 546 of the family's 1533-position model. The record is from RNAcentral.